AGCAGCCGCGGUAAUUCCAGCUCCAAUAGCGUAUAUUAAAGUUGUUGCAGUUAAAAAGCUCGUAGUUGAAUUUCGGGGUCAGUAGGUCGGUCGUGCCACUGGUAUGAACUGGUUUUACUGAUUCCUCCCUCUUGAAGAACUGUAAUGCCAUUAAUUUGGUGUUGCAGGGAAUCAGGACUGUUACUUUGAAAAAUUAGAGUGUUUAAAGCAGGCUUUAGCUUGAAUACAUUAGCAUGGAAUGAUGAAAUAGGACGUUUGAUCCUAUUUUGUUGGCUUCUAGGAUUGACGUAAUAAUUAAUAGGGAUAGUUGGGGGCAUUAGUAUUCAAUUGUCAGAAGUGAAAUUCUUGGAUUUAUUGAAGACUAACUACUGCGAAAGCAUUUGCCAAGGAUGUUUUCAUUAAUCAAGAACGAAAGUUAGGGGAUCGAAGACGAUCAGAUACCGUUGUAGUCUUAACCAUAAACUAUGCCGACUAGGGAUCGGAUGAUGUUAAUUUUUAAUGAC
This 503-nucleotide ribosomal RNA is filed under the name uncultured Glomus. RNAcentral's name for it is "SSU rRNA". It matches the Rfam family "Eukaryotic small subunit ribosomal RNA", at positions 569 to 1075 of the family's 1831-position model. The record is from RNAcentral. Lineage: Eukaryota; Fungi; Glomeromycota; Glomeromycetes; Glomerales; Glomeraceae.